Felis catus (domestic cat) is the source of this 606-nucleotide long non-coding RNA. RefSeq lists it as uncharacterized. NCBI's taxonomy places the organism in Eukaryota, Metazoa, Chordata, Mammalia, Carnivora, Felidae. The transcript has 2 exons. The record is from RefSeq and is a predicted model, not a curated record.
UUCAUCCAUCAGAAAAUGAAACAUUAUUAUCCCCCAGGACGCUCUCUGGUGCCCCUUUCCAGUCCACCCCUACCCCAACCACGACUCUGAAUCUUUUUCCUGUUGGUUGGUCUUCUGCAUUCUAGAACCUCACAAAACUGUAACUAUGUAUGUGCACUCUUUUUGUAAGCUUCUGUUGCUCAGCAUGAUGUUUUUGAGACUCACUCAUGUUUUUCCAUAUAUCAGUACUUUAUGCCUUUUAUUGCUAAGUAGCAUCCCAAGAUCUUGCUACUCCAAGCCUCUGACGUUCCGUUGAGCAUCCGGGAGCCAAGACUCCUUGUGUGUGGUCAUGCCCCAAGCCCUGGAGAGAGAGGGCAACGUGUGGUGAUGCAGAAACAGACAAGGAGAAGGAAACAGAGAGGAAGAAGGAUCCAGUUAGCACCUGUUUCCAUCCUGAGCCUCAGAGCAAAGAUUUCAGAAAGUGCCCUCCCCCACUCCCCUUCCCUAUCAUCUUAAGAGAUACACUCAGGGCAUUUCCUCACUCUUCAACUAAAGAUAAAGCAAAACCUCUUCACAUUUAACAAAGAAUUUCUGUGAAAUGAAAAUAAAAGCCUUUCAUUCAGCGAU